GCAGCAAAUGUUCUGUUGCUUUAGUAUAGUAUACUACAUUCUUGGUGUUUAAUUAUAAUAACUACUUCAAUAAAAUGAAUUUGAAAAUUAUAAUUUGUAUUGUAGCCACUAUAUUAUUCAUAAUGAUGUCGGAUGUAACAGCUCCAGAAGCUAAAGAUACUGGUGCGGAUCCUAAUACCCGCCGACCUCCUCCAUUACCUAUACCAGUACGAAACCCAAACCCAGCACCAACACUACCGGGUGAUCCAGAUCAACCAGUAGAUCCAUAAAAUAAUCCAUGAAGUGUCCAAGAUCUGGGUUCAAGACUGUGUACAUCGGUAUCUAGAACUGUUUUAAUUAUUUUUCACAACAUUAUUGCACGCUAUAUACAACUUAUAUAAAUAAAAUUCUGUUCUUAAAUUGUUUUAAAUGUAUGUAUGAAAUCCCAGUACAUAAUGAAAAAAUAAGUUUGCAUUGUU
This is a long non-coding RNA of Adelges cooleyi (spruce gall adelgid), 458 nucleotides long. RefSeq lists it as uncharacterized. The record is from RefSeq and is a predicted model, not a curated record. Lineage: Eukaryota; Metazoa; Arthropoda; Insecta; Hemiptera; Adelgidae. The transcript is spliced from 5 exons.